Triticum dicoccoides is the source of this 1731-nucleotide long non-coding RNA. RefSeq lists it as uncharacterized. The transcript is spliced from 4 exons. NCBI's taxonomy places the organism in Eukaryota, Viridiplantae, Streptophyta, Magnoliopsida, Poales, Poaceae. The record is from RefSeq and is a predicted model, not a curated record.
GAUAGCCCUCCCAGUCUCAGAUCUGGCCGGCCGGACCGACUGGCGCCGUGCCGACGAGGCGACGACGAAGGCGUAUGUGUACAUGGGUUUGAUCUUUCUCGCUCUCUCUCCGCUUCCGCUCCUCUCUCUCUCCGCGUGUCGAACGUCCGCUGUGUCCGAUGGGAUCGGUCGGGGGCUGCGGUGGAGGGUUGAUGAUGGUGUGAAUGGCUGACAGAAGAGAGUGAGCACACAGCGGCAGACUACGUCUGGUAAAGAGGACGGAUGGAUGCGAAGAGAUAUAGACGCAGCUGCUGUUGCGUGCUCACCCUCUCUCUGUCAGCUCUCUCUCCCCCUUGGGACUUGUUCCGCCAUCAAUCAGUCUAUCCAUCUCCCCUUGCCGUUCCCAUCGCUUCGCAGCCAUCUUUGCCUGCAUCGACUGCCGGGAAGAGGCAGGAUGAGGCUUUGUCUUGCUUGCUGUGUCCCCACCUGAGCCCUAUCUUGUCCGGACUCCGACGGCCUAGCCUAGCCCCCUGCUCUUUGGAAUAAGGAUUAGCUAUCGCCUUGGGGGAAGGGAGACGCGUGUUGAUUCGAUUAACGCAGGUGGUGUUAUUUUGCUCGACUCCCCAGGAGUGCUUAACGGAAAGCACUGUUUGACCGGUCCUUGCCAUGCCCUUCUCCCUCCUCCUCAUCUUCUUCUUCCUCCUGUACUCCACCCCCUCUCUUUGUUGCUGCUUUAACUUUUUUGGAUCACGAAAUCUCCAUCGUUUUUCUCCCCCUUUUGCGUCCUCAUCUCAUGUGCUGCUGUGAGAGGCGGGCAGGAAGGACGAAGGAGGCGGCUAUGGUGGCGGCGGCGCAGAUCUACAAUACUUGACUGCAAGUGGAAAGCUGGCACGUAGCCGAUGGCGACGCCGCCUCCCAGAUCUGUGGGAACGUUCGAACAACAGAUGCUUGCUGCCUUCCAGGAGAUGAAGUGGCUGCAUGGGGGCACGCUUGUCGUUUGCUACUUUCAGCAUGCCUACAGAGAUUGUGUUUUAUGAUCAAUCAAGAUUAUCCACAUCUCCAUCUGGAAUGUGUUGGGAGAAGUUGGAGCAGAACAGAAAUAAUUAAACCCCUACAGCCAAGUAAUGUAAUCAAAAGGAGGAAGCUGUGCCGCCAAGCCUCGGGAACUUGUGCCGAAGAUGUAUUUCUCAUUUGGUGAAUCCAUGGUACCACUUCUAUUUAUCUAUCAUGAAUUCCAGUCAGCCCUUUCUGGCGUUCGUGGUUUCUGGCUUCAUCAGGAAAUAUGGCAUAAACGGGAUGAUCUUUUUUUCCGUGCAAUUCAGGAGACCGUUGGAGUGCUAUGGGAAGCAUUAUCCUUUUCCUCACGUUCGUCAUCUCUUGAAAACAUUGUAGUUUCCUCGUCACGUCUUGUAAGUUUCAGAUUUUGUGCUCGAAUAUCUGCUGGUAUAUGCCCUCCAUCUCAAUGAAGAAGUAUGCAGUUUAGCGUGAAGAAUAGACACAGUUGAUCAUCCGUCUCCUGAACAAUAUCUAUGUCUGGUUUGGUAAGCUAGCUGAAGUCUGCUAUUUGCUUCUGAGACUGGACUCACGAUCUCUGUAACAGAUUGUCUUUCUGUACAAAAUAAAUUUCACUGUAAAUUUGAAGCUGCUUCUAUUUUCGGUUGGAGGGGUCAACGUUGCUAUUUUCUGAAUGUAGCGGCACUGCCUCCAGUUUCACUUUCAUAGAACAGAUGAAACCGUCCAUACGGCACUCCA